GGUAUUUUCUUUAAGUGAGCAGUAGAAUUCCCAAUCUUGAUCCUUAAUUUUUGAUCCGAUAGAGAACCCUUCCUUUUCAAAAAAUCUGAAAUCUAUGUUUUUGCCGGGCUCUACCUUCCUAUCGGAGAGGGGUAUCUUACUGGGGCUUAUUGGAAACCGAGAUGUAGCUGGAGCAGAUGCCGGAGCAGGGAUUGAAGCUGACGAG
Molecule: long non-coding RNA, 205 nt
Filed under: Elaeis guineensis (African oil palm)
Lineage: Eukaryota; Viridiplantae; Streptophyta; Magnoliopsida; Arecales; Arecaceae
Description: long non-coding RNA (EGUI_LNC082830)
Source: RNAcentral